Molecule: long non-coding RNA, 1301 nt
Organism: Cyprinus carpio carpio
Lineage: Eukaryota; Metazoa; Chordata; Actinopteri; Cypriniformes; Cyprinidae
Source: Ensembl
AUGUCACCGUAUGUUAGUGGGAGGGGGGAGUGGAAGGACCUGGGGAUGUGGGAUCUGGGGGGGGGGGUUCAUAGUUCAGUGGUGCCUGGGGCAGAAGAGGGACGGGGGGGGCAAGUUCGGGAGCGAGUUCAGCUUCCUGACAGCCUGAUGUAUGAAGUUGUCCUUCAGUCAACUGGUCCUGGCCUGGAGACUCCGCAGUCUCCUCCCUGAUGGCAGCAGACUGAAGAAGCUGUGUGACGGGUGAGUGGGAUCACCUGCAAUGCAGAGGGCUUUGCGAGUGAGACGGGUUACAUAAAUGUCCUGGAGGGAGGGGAGAGAGACACCAAUGAUCUUCUCAGCUGCUCUCACUAUGCGUUGCAGAGUCUUCCGGCAGGACGCGUUGCAGGCGCCAUACCACACAGUGAUGCAGCUAGUCAGGAUGCUCUCGAUGGUGCCUCUGUAGAAGGUGUACAUGAUGGGGGGUGGGGCUCUGGCUCUCCUCAGUUUGCGGAGGAAGUAGAGACGCUGCUGUGAUUCCUUGGCCAGUGCUGCAGUGUUGUCGGUCCAGGAGAGGUCCUCUGUGAUGUGCACACCCAGGAACUUGGUGCUGCUCACUCUCUCCACAGUCGCACCGUUGAUGGUCAGAGGAACAUGCUGAGUGUGCGUUCUCCUGAAGUCAACAACUGUCACUGCACCACCAGGCCAGGCGGCUCACCUUGCUCCUGUAGUUUGUCUCAUCUCUGUUGCUAAUGAGACCCACCACAGUCGUGUCAUCCGCAAACUUAAUGAAGAGGUUGGAGUUGUGUGACGGUGUGCAGUCGUGGGUCAGCAGAGUGAAGAGGAGGGGGCUCAGCACAAAUCCUUGGGGGGCCCCAGUGUUCAGUGUGAUGGUGCUGGAUGUGUUGCUGCCGACACGUACUGCCUGAGGUCUUCCAGUCAGAAAGUCCAACAGCCAGUUGCACAGCGAAGUGUUGAGCCCCAGCUCGACCAGUUUGUGAAUGAGCUGUUGAGGGAUGAUUGUGUUGAAUGCUGAACUGAAGUCUAUGAACAGCAUUCUGACGUAUGAGUCUUUUUUCUCUAGAUGUGUGAGUGCUGAGUGGAGGGUAGUUGAGAUGGCAUCAUCGGUCGACUGGUUGGACCGAUAUGCAAACUGGAAUGGGUCCAGGGAGGGGGGAGGGCAGACUUGAUGUGGUGCAUGACUAGCCGUUCGAAGCACUUCAUGAGGAUGGGAGUAAGUGCAACAGGACGGUAGUCAUUGAAGCAGAAUGGAGAUGGCUUCUUUGGGACUGGAAUGAUGGUGGUAGCUUUGAAGCAUGUGGGAA